AAUGGGGGCAACCCUGAUCCAGCCAUGCCGCGUGUGUGAAGAAGGCCUUUUGGUUGUAAAGCGCUUUAAGCAGGGAGGAGAGGCUAAUGGUUAAUACCCAUUAGAUUAGACGUUACCUGCAGAAUAAGCACCGGCUAACUCUGUGCCAGCAGCCGCGGUAAUACAGAGGGNGCGAGCGUUAAUCGGAAUUACUGGGCGUAAAGCGAGUGUAGGUGGCUCAUUAAGUCACAUGUGAAAUCCCCGGGCUUAACCUGGGAACUGCAUGUGAUACUGGUGGUGCUAGAAUAUGUGAGAGGGAAGUAGAAUUCCAGGUGUAGCGGUGAAAUGCGUAGAGAUCUGGAGGAAUACCGAUGGCGAAGGCAGCUUCCUGGCAUAAUAUUGACACUGAGAUUCGAAAGCGUGGGUAGCAAA
RNAcentral lists this ribosomal RNA (411 nucleotides) under uncultured bacterium. RNAcentral's name for it is "bacterial SSU rRNA". It matches the Rfam family "Bacterial small subunit ribosomal RNA", at positions 370 to 772 of the family's 1533-position model. The record is from RNAcentral.